This 479-nucleotide ribosomal RNA is filed under the name uncultured bacterium. Its description in RNAcentral is "bacterial SSU rRNA". It matches the Rfam family "Bacterial small subunit ribosomal RNA", at positions 328 to 799 of the family's 1533-position model. The record is from RNAcentral.
CCUGGAGACUCCUACGGGAGGCAGCAGUGGGGAAUCUUCGGCAAUGGACGGAAGUCUGACCGAGCAACGCCGCGUGAGUGAAGAAGGUUUUCGGAUCGUAAAGCUCUGUUGUAAGAGAAGAACGAGUGUGAGAGUGGAAAGUUCACACUGUGACGGUAUCUUACCAGAAAGGGACGGCUAACUACGUGCCAGCAGCCGCGGUAAUACGUAGGUCCCGAGCGUUGUCCGGAUUUAUUGGGGGUAAAGCGAGCGCAGGCGGUUAUAUAAGUCUGAAGUUAAAGGAUGUGGCUUAACCAUAGUACACUUUAGAAACUGUUUAACUUGAGUGCAAGAGGGGAGAGUGGAAUUCCAUGUGUAGCGGUGAAAUGCGUAGAUAUAUGGAGGAACACCGGUGGCGAAAGCGGCUCUCUGGCUUGUAACUGACGCUGAGGCUCGAAAGCGUGGGGAGAAAACAGGAUUAGAUACCCGUGUAGUCCUAG